RNAcentral lists this unclassified non-coding RNA (598 nucleotides) under uncultured Verticillium. Its description in RNAcentral is "sequence contains 18S rRNA gene, ITS1, 5.8S rRNA gene, ITS2 and 28S rRNA gene". The record is from RNAcentral. Lineage: Eukaryota; Fungi; Ascomycota; Sordariomycetes; Hypocreales.
UCCUCCGCUUAUUGAUAUGCUUAAGUUCAGCGGGUAUUCCUACCUGAUCCGAGGUCAACCUUGGUGCCGCCGGAGCGGGCUUGAGGGGGGUUUAGAGGCCGGAUAGCCCGCAGGCUCCCGAUGCGAGGCAGAUGUUACUACGCAAAGGAAGGGCCCAACGGGUCCGCCACUGGUUUUCGGGGACUGCCUGGGCAGAUCCCCAACGCCGGGCCACGGGGGCUCGAGGGUUGAAACGACGCUCGGACAGGCAUGCCUCCCAGGAUACUGGAAGGCGCCAUGUGCGUUCAAAGAUUCGAUGAUUCACUGAAUUCUGCAAUUCACAUUACAUAUCGCGUUUCGCUGCGUUCUUCAUCGAUGCUGGAGCCAAGAGAUCCGUUGUUGAAAGUUUUAACAGUUCGCUUAGAACACUCAGAUGUAUCGUCGGGUUCGAACAGAGAUUCUGAUAAUGCCGGCGGGCACGCCCCGGGAGGCGCGCCGCCGAAGCAACAGGUAUAAAGGUUCACAAAGGGUUAUGAGUUAUAGUACUCGGUAAUGAUCCCUCCGCUGGUUCACCAACGGAGACCUUGUUACGACUUUUUACUUCCUCUAAAUGACCAAG